RNAcentral lists this microRNA precursor (195 nucleotides) under Oryza sativa Japonica Group (Japanese rice). Its description in RNAcentral is "MIR812 microRNA precursor family". It matches the Rfam family "MIR812 microRNA precursor family". The record is from Rfam by way of RNAcentral. Lineage: Eukaryota; Viridiplantae; Streptophyta; Magnoliopsida; Poales; Poaceae.
AAAAAGACAAACCAUGGGUUUACGUGUCCAACGUUUGACCGUCCGUCUUAUUUGAAAAAAUUAAAAAGACAAGUCACGCAUUAAGUAUUAAUCAUGUUUUAUUAUCUAACAAUAAUAAAAAUACUAAUUAUAAAAAAAUUUCAUAUAAGAUGGACAGUCAAACGUUGGACACGGAAACCCAGGGUUUGCCUUUUU